RNAcentral lists this transfer RNA (66 nucleotides) under Asthenognathus inaequipes. RNAcentral's name for it is "tRNA-Ser". Lineage: Eukaryota; Metazoa; Arthropoda; Malacostraca; Decapoda; Varunidae. The record is from RNAcentral.
GGAAUAUUAAGUUAAGACAAAAGCUUCUAACUUUUUUCUAAGCGGUUAAACUCCGUUUAUAUUCCU